RNAcentral lists this small nuclear RNA (22 nucleotides) under Arabidopsis thaliana (thale cress). RNAcentral describes it as "snRNA_13381". Lineage: Eukaryota; Viridiplantae; Streptophyta; Magnoliopsida; Brassicales; Brassicaceae. The record is from RNAcentral.
AACAGCCUGCCCACCCUGGAAA